GACAGAGGAGCCAAGCGUUGUCCGGAUUGACUGGGCGUAAAGCGCACGCAGGCGGUCGCGCGCGUGGGGUGUGAAAGGUGGCGGCUUAACUGCCAGAUGCCAUCCCAUACGGCGCGACUGGAGGCAUGGAGAGGUCCACGGAAUUGCCGGUGUAGUGGUGAAAUGCGUAGAGAUCGGCAGGAACACCCAGGGGGAAAC
This 198-nucleotide ribosomal RNA is filed under the name uncultured prokaryote. RNAcentral's name for it is "partial 16S ribosomal RNA". It matches the Rfam family "Bacterial small subunit ribosomal RNA", at positions 524 to 721 of the family's 1533-position model. The record is from RNAcentral.